GCAAAAACGUAAAAGUAAAAAUGUUUUGAUCGCGCGCUCUGACGGACGUCACCUCCUCGUCCGCCGUCACCCGCCUUAAAAAAAGAAACCACAGCAGGGCGAAACGGACAAGUGCGCGUCCACAUUCUCGGUCCGUUGCAAGCUCCCGCGUGCCGCCUCGAAGUGCCCAAAUUAAUCCCGAUGAAGCUCCAGAAACCAAGAAGACUCGGUACGCUCACACCAACACAACACCUAACGAAUUCUAAUUUGUAUGCGUCCGUGUGCGAGUGAAGAAGCUAAAGCUAUCGAGGAAUUUAACAUUUAACACCUUGGCCAGGCCGUGCCCACGCGUGUUUCACACAUUUCAGCUGACCUUUUCCCGUGAAUUCGCGCGAGUCCGGAAUUAGACAGUGGCAACACGUGGACGUAGAAGGCCAUGACUCAGAGCAUUACCAGCACCAGCUAAUUGUCAAAUUUUCCAAAAUUGAUAAAGACAAAAAAUACCACAAAUCCACAAGCCAUUCCCCCCAAUGUGUUAAUGAAAGCAAUAGUCGACGGAAAUAAAACUUCGUGUCACGAUUUUAUAAUCACCGAAACAUCUCAACAGGAACAGGCAUAGGAAAGCGGGUUUCCAGAACGAUUCCAGCUGAAAUACCCGCCGAAGAGGAGUGAGCGAGAGGCAUAAUAACUGAGUAUUUCUUUUCUUCAUUAUUUCCAAGCCCGAUCCGAAGAAGCAGAGAGAACCGUUACGAUGGCGACAAAAAUGUGGUCACAAUUGCAAUCAAAGCAAAGACACACGUAAACGUAACGGCGAGCAGAGGGCAGCAGGCAGCGCUGCUUCAAACAUGUUGCAUGCAACCAAUCUGCGCGAUCGGCUCGAAGAUCGCAGCCAUGCCGAACCAUGCCGUCGCUGCCAGCUUUCACUUCGUUUUUACAAUUUUUCAAUUCGUUUUUGGCGCUUUUCACUUCGUUUUUGACGCCCGAUCCCAACGGUUCUUGGGGCUUGGGGUUCUUCAUAAGUGCUCUUGCACAUCGUGGACGGCCUGUACCUACAUGUGUAGAUAUUUGUGUGUUUGCCGCGCGGGCGUUAUUGUGCAUAUUUCCGGUGGCCGAAAAAUAAGAGGAAUAACAGCUAUACGAUAAAGCUAUACAUUUCCAACAAAUCGCUCACAAACACUCGAAUCUCCCAUGUUCUGUGUGUUCGUUGCGUGUGUGUGUGUGUGUAUAGUUGAUCCACUCGUAAAAAUAAUAAUAAUUGCAUUUAUCGGGUGUCCGACCGGCGCCAGCUUCAAUUUAAUUAUAAAUAACAUCAACUAAACUAAAUAGCGCCAUCGCUUCCACGCUCUUUCGAGAUCAGUUCCAGUCGGCAAUACCAGAUGUACAACACACACACACAUGCACGUGUGAACAUGUGUGUGUACACAUAGUUCUGUAUACUUUCCAACGUUUUUGCUUGAAAGAGUCCAAGUAGGCGUUGAGGCAAACCUCGUCCCUCUUCGCGCUCAGCCUCCUACCGUAUCGUCUGGUCUCGUCUCUCAGGGAGCAUCACGCGCGCCGGUACAAAGUUAAAGUUUACUUACACACACGCGAGAACAACCUUCGUAGUACUUAACGGAUCCCGUUUGUCAACCCACUUUUGAGCCAAGGGAAAAAUCAAUACAUUUCGAGGCCCCCUUGCUUUGGCGCAGACCCAGACACCACCGAAGAUAAUCCCAACCCAGCCAAAAACUUAAACCGAUUCUAAAAAAAAAACAUUCGAAGAGAAUGAAAUACAUUACUUCUUAUCGGGGAACUGGGGACAAUGUUCCAAGGUUUUCGAAAACUGAGAACUUUGAGCCGGCGCACACUCGAUAAUAAUUAACAAGAAUUCUCGGCAAUAAAUAUGUACAUAAAAGAAGAAAAUACUAAAAAUAACAAAAGAGGGAAACACAGUGCGGUGACGAAAACACGUUUUGCUAUUCGCAAGGACAUCUGUUCACAUCUUACCGGGCAGCAUUAGAUCCUUUAGAUACCUCUAAUACUGUCAGGUAAAGAUGUCGUCCGUGUCCUUAUCCAUCAUAAAUCCCAAGAACAGCAAACAAGGCGUAAAAAACUAGUUUUUCAAUUGUGCGUGUAGAAGCCCGAAAAAGAGAUCACAUCACAGCGGAAGGAAGGAAGGAGAACACGACGGGCCACAAAGAGAGAGAGAGAGAGAGAGCUGCUGGAUGUCGAUGUGGAUAAAUGAACAGGCAGCAGAGAAAUGGUCAUAAUUUUUUUUUUUGCAGCAUCAGCAACGACAAGACGCGACGCGACGCGUUUUGGGAUGACAUCAGUAAGAGACAGAAAAAAAGAGAGGGAGAGAGGGAGAAAUACAUAUCUGUACUCGGCCCCUCUUCUGUUCGACGGUCGACCGGCGCCGCCCAUGGGAGAGUGGUGGGGAGAGGAGAGUGUGUGUGCAGGUAAACCUUAUAGAAAGAAGACAACGUGGUCGGAGGAGCGGGCAGAAGAGGGACCAAUAAAAAAUAUAUUUUAUGGUUCCGCUUCUUUUUUCGUUUUGCGUUUCGUUUCUUAAUUUCUUCUUUUCAGCAUUUUAGUGACAAAAAUUCACUUUUUAUGAUGCCAUUUCCCUCUUUUACCCCUCCCUACCUACUCCGCGAUUUACGAUUAUAGCUAACUAUCCGAAGCAUCAGGUUGGGUUUCAUUUUUUUCCUGUCUACGUAAAAUGUUCAUAAUCCGAAAUUAUAGAAAUGUGAAACCAGAAACUGAAUUAAAUGCUUACAAAUUGCAGAAGCGUGAUCAAAUCGAAAGAGAAAAGCACGGCUUGUAGGGAUAUUUCAUUGGGCUAUGGUCGCCGGAACUUUAGGAUAUGAUGUGCCAAUCGGUCGUACCUGUUCAGAGCACCGUGCAGAUGGCAUUAUGUGUACCAUAAAUAUAGCAGCUGCAAGUAGCGCAGAGCAAUCACUGCAAAGCAGCUGCCCUGCCUCGUUUAGCAAGUGCUGAUCGAUUUCCCUUUUGUGCUGGCAUUCUUCCGUUCGUUGCAAUUCUCUGCAUUCGAUUCACGCCUUUGCUGAUAAGCUACAGCAUUGGAGGCUGAUCUCGCCCCGAGACCUGCACUAUCUCUUCGCUUCUCUUCUAGUCGGCUGCCUAUCCUACACAUUUCACUGUGUGUGUUUGAGUGUGCGCUGUAAAGGCGAAAACAAAUACCGGUGCCGGCAAACACAACCGGGGCUAUUGUCAAGAGUGACCAGAGUAAUGUGGCUAUGGGGUCUCUCAAGGAGGGGGGCGCAAUUUCGUAGGGGAGAUAUAUGACCCACAAACACACUCGUAAUGCACACCAAGGAACAGGGCUCGUAAAAGCGUUUAGAGGCUUUUAAAUUUUACAGUUUCUUGGCACAGUGGUACUCAUGUUUAAUGUACUUAGUGUUCCUUGGGUGCUUGGGUGCUUGGCUGGUUGGCGACGGUGGGGCCCCUGUGGUAAAAGGGGUUAAUCUAAUCAGGAAAACAAAAAAUGCGUUAGCUGCGGUCGUCUGGUGGAAAAGAUCUCCAAUGGCGGAACCGAACGAGACGAAACGACCAACGUAACCAGAACGAAUAUAACACCUGUUAAUGAACUUAGGAGCGACUCUAAUGAAAUACACAUACACACAUGUAUACCAAGGUCUGCCCCUCUGUAUUCCAAAAAACCCUUUUGGAGUUUUCCAACUAAAGAUUCUAUAAAUCUACCGCCGCAGGUAUCCCCCUGAUAAUGCAUUCGAUUCAUUGCUGAUCUCCGACUUCGGUUGCUUAGAUCCCCUAAGAUUUCUAAGAUUGAAGCAUUUACAAAGAAUUUACUUUAACCUUGCGCAAGGUGACCGGCAAUGCAGACAACAACUACAAAUAAUCAAUCUACCGUUGUUGUCACCCGACAGAGCCGCUGGCCAAGCCCUAAAAGACUCUUGGUAUUUCAUAAUUCGGUUGAGAAUAUUCCAAGCGGUCUAACGGUCAAACCAGCGGCAGAAAAAGGUGCCAAGUCAGCGCAAUCGUGCGACAAUUUCACAAGCAACAUUCAUCGGCCAAUCUGAAAAAUUAAAUCAGGCAAUACUCGAUAGGGCAGCACUUCAAGCCCGAGCACUGAGGCCGAGUUCUAAUCGAAAUUGUGACCAGAACACUUGUGGUAUCCACACACAUGGCCACAUGAUAAUGCCACAUUCACACACCACAUCCCAAACCACUCUCCAGCUGAAAAACCAAUAACGAUCGAUUCAAAUGCAAACAAAGCCAAACAAUACCAACCGGCAAACCCAUUGACAGUCAAUUCCAUCGAUGGCUCGAGGGGAAAACGUUGAAAUGAAUUUCAUAUCGCUGCAUAUCUCAAAUCUGACAUCUGAUUCUGCAACAGCAGCAUGUGGCUCCAUAGACACAGGCACUCGAACAGUCUGUAUAGAACAGGCUUUUGUAAAUUCUUGAGAACGAACCCUAUGUCUAUGACCAAUGGUCAAUCUUGGAAAUCCAUCGAUCGGUUCAAGGCAAUUCCACUAUCUUCGAGCAGGUGAAGCGUCGUCAGAGUUGAGAAGUCUAGUCCGAGUACGAGUACAUAUUGUACGAAUAUAUGCAGAGGACCAGUAUCUAAUCGGGGGUUGGGGCUAGAGUAUCUAAUCAUGGACGACGGACCGCAAGUGCGUGUAGAGAGUAUCUAAUCAUGUGUGUGUAUGUGUGUGUAAUUUUCUUUCUAAGACCAGGCGAAUGCGGAACCUCUACUAUAUUUCUCGGCGAUUAGAUCCAGCGAUUCCCGAGAAAAAAGAUUGUGCGAAAUAAGAGCAGAUCUAAUGGCUGGAAUACGGAAAUAAAGUAACUAAAUUCGAUAACUGACACACUUAUAACUGUCUUAUGGCACAAUAACUCUCGUCUGUAUCGUAUCUGACAGUCACCCAAACGAAAAAUCUCCACUACCGUAUCUCGCCAGGCAACAGAGAAAGAUACUACGAGUACAGGGGCGCUGCCACUGAAAUGAGCCCCAAUCAAAAUAUUGAGCAUGAUUUAUAAAUGACGGACGGGGUGUAAUAUAAUAUGCCUUGACGUGUUAAUAGAGCGGACCCAAAAGGAAAACGAAGGAAAAGAAAAGAAAACACGAUGAACUGCCGCAGGGGAAAGUGGCAAAGGCGGAAAGGGGCAGUGAAUGUGAAUGGGCGUAAAUCAAUUAAAGGCUAACAAAGCAAUCAAGCUCCAGAUUCAUAUGGAACGGAUGAGGUGGCGGGAGUGGGGGCUUGUAGCGAGUCAUGCUCCGUCACUCCUUGAACGGAUUGUGUGUCACAGCAAGAGUUAAAUUGCCCCAAAAUGCAUUCGAUAGGCCCAGCCGGACUUCAACACUUCAUCACCAGCAGCGCAUUGGUUGUGUCCCCCUAAUGAACCAAACUUGUAAGACGAUUCCGAGAAGACUCCACUCUUGUCUUGGCAUGCAAAUGUUAAUUGACCACUUAAGUUAAAACUUCAUAAUGAUCGUUAAUAAUACCGAGCGAUCUCUCUGAAGGUAAAAAAACGAUAGGGCAAGCAGGAGCAGAAGGUUGAGCGAACGCCGACAAACUGUAAGCAAAAUAACAGGUUCACAAACCUUAACUAGCCAAGUCGAAGACUCUUAAAAGAUAUGCACACGCACACACCUACCAAUACACAUACACAGGCAUUCAUACGACUAUAAGUAGUCACCUUUCAGAACAGAGCUGUGCGCUGACGAUGCGAGCAUGUGGGAAAUCUGAGAGCAUAGUGGCAGCCCGGUCCGGUCCGGUCCCUCUCAGCUUCAGGCUCUAACUGUCCGUUAAUGAUCUUUUCUGCUAGCUCAUUUAUCCAGCAUCUACUUGCAUGCAGUAUAUACAUAUGUAAAUAUGUAUGUGUACACCCAGCAGACUCAAGAUGAGAACAUUGUACGGUUCUAGCUGAGACAGUAUUCCAAAAUGUUCUUUUGGGCCAACCAACAAAAGUUCACAGCGGUUAAAGGAGCAAAUGGAACAAUUCAAUUUUAAAAUUUCCAAGAAAUGGGGGCUCAAAGAUAUAUAUAGGUUCCCCUCUAAUGAUAUUCUAUGAACCUAAGUACAUCUUUGAACGCUGUCAGAGGAUUUUAAACCGCUUUUAUAGAAAAUUCAAUUAACUGUAGUUCGGUUCAAUUUAGAGCAGUAACUAUAAAAUAACUAUUAUCUUAAAUUGAUCAAACACUUGUACAGGUACAGGAACAGCUAAGUGGUGCAGAGAGUGAAGGGGAGACUAGACUGAUACAAAAACUAGAUGGGAAAGAAAUGCAAGCUCAUGGCUCAUAAUCAAGGGCCAUGAAAGCUGUUUCCUGCCCAAGCUGAUUGCAUUGAUUGCCCCCCAAACUGGAAUGGAAAUUGGACCAAACGGGGAAGGAGUCCGUCCGCCCGUCCGCCCGACCGCCUGUCCGAUUCUGACUCGUGCCGGAGCCACUACCCCAAAAGAAUGCACCAGGAGUUUCCCGGCCUAGCGAAACUAACACUGCUCUCACUCACUCUCUUGGCCACAGGUAAUUGAACGUUCUCCCCAUUCUGCCAUUCAGCGCAGCUACUGUGUGCAACCGUGGCUCCAUGACACGCCUGCUCUUUAGCGAUGGCCCUGGGAGGGGCCUAGGACUGGGCAAUGUGCAUCGCGUCGCAUCGCAUCGCAUCGUAUCGCAUCGUAUCGCAUGGCAUCGCUCCGCUGAUUCAGCAUCGUCGCUGGGGUGCAUCAAAUUAGCAUUGUUCCCAGAGUCAGUGAGCUUUUUGCCUGGGCACUCCGAGACUGUACUUCGAGGCAAGAAUAACCUUUAAUUGGAUUGAAGAAUUUGAAAUAAAUAUAAAAUGUUUGUCAUUCAUGAAAUACUCGUCGCAUUCUGUUUAUCUUGUAUUCUCGCUACGCGCCAGCAUAGAUAAUCCCAUGUUGGGGAAAAAAGACCAACAUUCAAUUAAAUAAAUUACCCAAUUACAUAUUGACAUAACAUACUCGCACUCGUAUUGUGUGGACUAUAGACUAUAGACUUUUGAAAUUUCAUUAUCAUAAAAGCAUAUUUCGUGGAGCUACGAGUACGAGCAGGCAAGCAUUAAUAACUUGGCCUGCAAUUUGCAUUCGUUAUCCGAAACACAUGGCGCCCGUACCCACAUACAUACAUACAUAUGUAUGUACAUAUUUAUGAAUUGGGGCCACAAAAGCGCCACCUGGCGGGGCCACGCGUGUGUGGCUAAUCGGCCCCGUCCGUUCGGGCUUGGUAAUUAAAAAACGUUAACGUUUUCAGCCUGGUUAUUCUAUUUUAGCUCUCUUUUUUUUCGUUAUUUCGUUAAGUUGAACUAAUGGAAUAAUUAGCGUAAAUGUUGCUGAACAAAUUUCAGCUGUGGCCCGACUAUUGGUCGCCGCCACAUGGACGCCGAGUCCAAGGAAAUUUGGAUAUAUACUGUAUUGGCUGGAUACUCCUGUCCAUGCCUCCCUCGGCACACUGUUGGAGGAGUGGUUACUCAGUGAACAAUUAGCCAAGACAAGAAUCAACAUAUGGAGGCUGUUCAAGCCGUCAUGAAUAUGCAUGAACAGCUGAUUUAUAAGUGAACUCUACGCCCCGUCAUAGCUGGGACUACAGACGUCUAACAGCCAUCAACUAUAACUAUAUGUACAUAUAAACUUAACACGUAAAAAAUAAUAUAAAUUUGCAUAGAAAUUGCAAUGAACCUUAGCUCGCAAGUGGAAGAACAGCAAAGCAACAGGUUAAUGGCAGCACUGGCCAACAAGCGAGCUGGUAGAAGGCAGAAGGGGAAAACCAGAUAGGAAGGCCUUCUACACACACACACAUUACGAUUUACUAAUCAUAAUACAGCGAUGGGAAUAUAUUUUGGCUUGGAAUAACCACCAUAUGCCAUGGAUAAUAUCCAUA
Molecule: small RNA, 7837 nt
Filed under: Drosophila pseudoobscura pseudoobscura
Lineage: Eukaryota; Metazoa; Arthropoda; Insecta; Diptera; Drosophilidae
Description: GA31475
Rfam family: mir-8/mir-141/mir-200 microRNA precursor family (bases 1953-2020)
Source: RNAcentral